AUCCAGCUGAUCAGUCGCAAAUAGGACCAAACGCGCUUCCUGGAU
Molecule: non-coding RNA, 45 nt
Organism: Schistosoma margrebowiei
Lineage: Eukaryota; Metazoa; Platyhelminthes; Trematoda; Strigeidida; Schistosomatidae
Source: Rfam